GGGCGGGUAGCUCAGCUGGUUAGAGCAUCACGCUUACAACGUGAGGGUCGCCGGUUCGAGUCCGGCUCCGCCCA
RNAcentral lists this transfer RNA (74 nucleotides) under uncultured Solirubrobacteraceae bacterium. RNAcentral's name for it is "tRNA-Val-TAC". It matches the Rfam family "tRNA". From Rfam's summary of the family: Transfer RNA (tRNA) molecules are approximately 80 nucleotides in length. Their secondary structure includes four short double-helical elements and three loops (D, anti-codon, and T loops). Further hydrogen bonds mediate the characteristic L-shaped molecular structure. tRNAs have two regions of fundamental functional importance: the anti-codon, which is responsible for specific mRNA codon recognition, and the 3' end, to which the tRNAs corresponding amino acid is attached (by aminoacyl-tRNA synthetases). tRNAs cope with the degeneracy of the genetic code in two manners: having more than one tRNA (with a specific anti-codon) for a particular amino acid; and 'wobble' base-pairing, i.e. permitting non-standard base-pairing at the 3rd anti-codon position. The record is from RNAcentral. Lineage: Bacteria; Bacillati; Actinomycetota; Thermoleophilia; Solirubrobacterales; Solirubrobacteraceae.